GUUUCUACUUGGCCCCCCUGGCCCACACGGCACUCCCAGACGUCAUGGAAGUGACGGUGUCUUACGAGUCUAGUGAAAUCAGUACCUUAAUCAUGCCCAUGUUGAUCCAUUGGGACCCAGACUCGAACGCGUGGAUGGUAUCGAAUGAGACAUGCAGUAGCAGUGUAUCUGACCGACACGUACUAGAUGCAGCGAACUUACAAUUCACCACCAAGCUCUGCCGCACCAGAACCAGC
Long non-coding RNA from Lineus longissimus, 236 nucleotides. RefSeq lists it as uncharacterized. Lineage: Eukaryota; Metazoa; Nemertea; Pilidiophora; Heteronemertea; Lineidae. The record is from RefSeq and is a predicted model, not a curated record. The transcript has 3 exons.